GAGGGUUUCCGCCCUUUAGUGCUGAAGUUAACGCAUUAAGCAUUCCGCCUGGGGAGUACGGCCGCAAGGUGAAACUCAAAGGAAUUGACGGGGGCCCGCACAAGCGGUGGAGCAUGUGGUUUAAUUUGAAGCAACGCGAAGAACCUUACCAGGUCUUUGACAUCCUCUGAAAACCCUAGAGAUAGGGCUUCUCCUUCGGGAGCAGAGUGACAGGUGGUGCAUGGUUGUCGUCAGCUCGUGUCGUGAGAUGUUGGGUUAAGUCCCGCAACGAGCGCAACCCUUGAUCUUAGUUGCCAUCAUUAAGUUGGGCACUCUAAGGUGACUGCCGGUGACAAACCGGAGGAAGGUGGGGAUGACGUCAAAUCAUCAUGCCCCUUAUGACCUGGGCUACACACGUGCUACAAUGGACGGUACAAAGAGCUGCAAGACCGCGAGGUGGAGCUAAUCUCAUAAAACCGUUCUCAGUUCGGAUUGUAGGCUGCAACUCGCCUACAUGAAGCUGGAAUCGCUAGUAAUCGCGGAUCAGCAUGCCGCGGUGAAUACGUUCCCGGGCCUUGUACACACCGCCCGUCACACCACGAGAGUUUGUAACACCCGAAGUCGGUGGGGUAACCUUUUUGGAGCCAGCCGCCUAAGGUGGGACAGAUGAUUGGGGUGA
This 658-nucleotide ribosomal RNA is filed under the name Bacillus cereus. Its description in RNAcentral is "bacterial SSU rRNA". It matches the Rfam family "Bacterial small subunit ribosomal RNA", at positions 826 to 1483 of the family's 1533-position model. The record is from RNAcentral. Lineage: Bacteria; Bacillati; Bacillota; Bacilli; Caryophanales; Bacillaceae.